GACAAGGAACUCAUUAAAAGACAAAGAGCAACCAGAUUGAGUCAACGGCAUAAAAUCCUUCCACUGAACCCUGUUGGAUUAGCAUUUGAGCUUACAAAGUCAAUUCCAUCUCAAAUCUCAGAUCUAUCACUCCUCCACUUACAGUGAAAAUGUCCAGGAAGUUUGCCAGCAACCAGCUCUGUAUAUCCACAACACAUUGCUAAGUAUGUUAGAAUCCCUGCAAUAACAUAAUAAAAAGAAGAUCUGGCUAUUUGCCCAUUUUACCCUGCUGCACCAUUUUGCAAUGUCAGGAUGGGAAAAUGCCACUUCCCAUGACUUGCUCCAAAUCCCUGGAUUCUCUUCAAAAUCCUAUUGAUAUCUGCCAAAAUCAGCAACUGAACUGCCACAAACUUCUUACAUAAAAAAAAUCCCAAAGAUUCAUUUCCCUCUGGGUAAAGAAGUUUCUUCUUUUGGUUUUGAUUGGUUGAGCCCUUACUUCAAGAUAGUUACCUCUGCGUUUAGACACCCAUCCCAGAAAAUUUCAUUCCUGGAUCUAUUGUCCACAUGUUUAAAUAAGAUCACCUCUCAUUCUUCUCAGGCCCAGCCUGCUUACUUUCCUUUUGUCAGACAAUCCCCCAAUCCCAAUAGUUAAUCCAGUGAAUCUUUGUUAAACUCCCUCUGACACAAGGAACCAACUUCCUUGGUUAAGUAGACCAGACCUGGACACAGUAUUCUAGUGUGGAGACUGUGGAAAUAUGUAUUGAACUUUGAAUUCUUUGUAACCAUUUGAUGUGGCAAAAUGGAGUUGUAUAAAUCCCAGAGUGUUAAGCUAAUAUGUUGCAAUAUAUAUAUGUCACUAAAGUAACAGGAAGAAACUACAAGAAAUGUGCUUAUUAAAGGAAUACAUGACUGCAAACAUGAAAUACACUGAACAUCGUGCAAAAAUAAGGAGUAACAGAGACGAGUCAACCACAGGCUACAACAAAUGUAUCAGAAGGAUUGAGAUUGCUGGAAAUAGUAACCUCGUCUCUUUCUUAUGUUUAAAAAUAACACUGUGUAAACAGUAUGUUGGAAAUCCCCCUACCAUCCCUGGUUAGAGUGAAGGUAAACUUUCCUCUUGUAAGUAAUAAAGAAUGAAAGUGCUUGAUAAAGAUCCAUUCAGUGUUGGUAUUGUGUUUUGUGAGACAUAGCAGAGAGAUACUCAAUGAGACAAAAUGCAGCAAAUGCUGGAACCUGUAGAAAAAUGAAACCAUCUUGAUAUGGGUUAUGAACCCAAACUUUUGACAAUUCUGUCUUCCCUCAUGGACGCUGCUCAACCCACUGAGUUCCCUGGCUGACUAUUUUUUUCUUGCUCCAAUAUUCCUGUGUGGUCUCCUGUAAAACUGUAGCAAGAAGUCCUUACUCAUGCACUCAAAGCUUCAUUGCUUUCAUAAUUGUUGUACAUUAAUUCUUAAUCCUUUUGUCAUUACAACUACACUGAUGGUUUAUUUUUGUACCUCAUGUUUUUCACCCAGCUUAGUAUCAUAAUAUUUGGAUAUAAUACACUGAGUCCUGCCAUCUAAACCAUUGAAAUUGAGCAUCUGGGAUCCUAGCAGCAAAUUCUGUGGUAGCCUACUGCUUCUCAGCUCAGGAAUGGCCUGUUUACUCCAGUUCACUGUUAUCUGCCUAUUAACCAUCCUUCUUUCUCACCAGUAUGCUAUUCCCAAUCACAAGUGGUUUAAUUUAUUUAAUAUCUCAUCAUUGGCCUUCUGAAGUUUGUAUAUAUAUAUCACAUCUACUAGUUCUCCUUUAUCCAUUCUGCUUGUUGCACACUCAAGAAAUAUUAAACAUGAUUUAUCCGCCAUAGAUCCAUGAUGACUCUGUCCAAAGGUUUUUCUUAAAAAAUUUUCUAAAGCUCUGUUACCAUACCCUUAAUGACCAAGUCCAACAUCUUCCUUACUUUUGACAUCAAACUAUUUGGUUUGCAGUUCCAGAAAUUUUCUCUCUCUGUCGUUUUAGCACUGAGGGUAGACUUGCUACAUUCCAACCAAUCUUUAAAUGAGUAUUAGGUAAAAUAAUCGUUUUGAGUAAUUAAUUGGACAGAACGCUAAUUUCUUUUAGUUAUCCAUUCACUCUAGACUUAUUUCUCUUAACUAUUUGCAGAAGGAUUUUUUUGUGUCAUUGAUAUUAAAUUCUUUCUGCCAUUUCCUUACUCCCCCUAUAAAUUUUCCUGUCUCAGUCAGCAAGGAACCCAGAUUAACUUUCGUAAAUCUUUUCCUUUUUAAAUAUCUAUAGAUGCUGACAGUCUAUUCUUAUGUUUCUCGCCACUUUACUGUCUUGCUCUACUUUCAUUUUCCUCAUUUCAUUCAUGGAUCUCAAACCUUACCAAUCCUCAGGCUUGUAUAUCUUUUUUCCAAAUUAAACUAAAUCACUUUAAAUCAUAGUCCAAAAUUGAAUGAUUUUAUGAUCACUAUUCACAAAAGAUUCCUUAGCUCCCACAUUAUUAAUUAACCUUUUCUGAAGGUAUAUUUCCAGAUUGAAAUUAGCAAAAUUAUAACACCUUUUUGAUUGUUGUGUAUUUAAUAUUUGAGUAAUAUUUUAAAAAUGCUGUAUUGUUUAAUUUUCUUGUUUACAUAGUGUAUUGUGAGUUACAUGUAAGAGUACGUAAAGGGCAAAUGCAGUACACCACCACAUCAUAUGUGCAUGCCUCACUUAAAGUAAAAGCAAAGUUAGACUUGCAAUUCAACUGCUUUGUUUUUCCUUCCAACUAGUAUGUUUUACAGUUGUAGGACAUGGCAGUGACAGCAAGGAAGUUCUGAACAGAUCCAAGAUGUCUACUUAGCUGAUGAAGCACAGUGAGUCACUCGAGAUUUAAAAAAAUGCGAGAAACGGUCAAGUAAAAAACUAACAGCACAAAACAUGCUUCUUUGGGAAAUGACAUAAUCAUUCAAGAUGGACAAAUCCAUGUGCUCAGGAACAGUAAGUUCCGGGCGAUAAUAAACAUCGAUAAAAUAAAAGAGCAGAAGUGGCCGGCUACAUCUGAUAGAUUCAUUUGAUUUCACAAGAGAUAACUGGGUCAUAUAUGCAGAACAAAUUGAGCAAUAUUCUGAAGCAAAUGAAAUCACCAAUGAAAAGCAAGUGCCAGUUUUCAUGAGUGCAUUAAGUGGAAGAGUGCGUUAGGUUAGACUGCUCCAACUAAACCAGCUGAAAUAAGCUUUGCUGAUAUCAUGAAAGUAAUACAGGAACAUUGAGAACCAAAACCAUUGUUGAUUGAAGAAUGCUUCAGGUUUCAUAUGCAGAAUCAAAAGGAAGGGGAAUCCACUUCAGCAUACAGUAUGUGGCUGAAUUGACAAGAUUGUCUAAGCAUUGUCAGUUCAGACAAUGAUGCAUGAGGAUUGUUUAGUCUGUGGAAUCUUACAAGAAAACAUUCAAAAACGGCUCAUAACUGAAGCACAGCUUACAUUUAAAAGAGUGGUCAGAAUAGCUGUAUCAAUGGAAACAGCAGGCAGAGACACAGUUGAGUUGUAGUCAGAAACGAAGUGCAAACAAAAUUGCAAAGUCCAAGCUGAAACCAGCCUGGCUGAACAAAUUCUAUUAUCUUUGUGGCAGGGUUCACAUAUAGAAGACCAACGCCGAUUUAAAGGUGAAAUUUGCAGAAGAUACAACAAAGUAGCAUGUCAGGCAAACAACAAUAAAUGGACUGCACAGGGAAGAGAAAAAGAUAAAAAGUCAAGUUGCAAUUUCAAAACGAGCACUAAUCUGCAUGAGAGUGACGCUGGACUGCGUAGCCUUUAGAUUUCCAAUGUGAAAACUAAUAGAAAAGCAAUAUGGAUUAUAUCAGAAGUGAACAAAUUAAUUAAAAUAGAAUGGACACUUGCUAGUUUGUUUCAGACAUUCCACAAAAUGAGUUUGAGUGACAUCUCAAAGAUGCAGAAUUGAAGGCUCAGAUAUUUGACUAAGAACUUGUACUGGAGAAAGGAUAAUUCCUGUGGGAAUGACAUUUGUAACAGUGAAAUACAACAGUGAAAGCCACAUUGGCUUGUAUGUGAUGGGGAUAAGAGGGCCAGCAUUGUAAGGGUGUGAUUGGCUGAGGCAGCAACAGCUUGAUUGGUGAUCAAUCCACCAUUUGCAUGCAAUAGAAUCAACUGCAAGUGAAUUAAGAAAGGUACUGGAUGGUGCCACAACUGUCUCCAUGCUGUACACCAUGAACCAAUGCCCAACAGAGGACAAACAGGUGUUGGUGCCAGUCUCUGUGCCUUGGAUUGGAAAGCACAUUGGACCCCCAAGAAAGACUAUGCUGCUCAGAGGAAUUGUGAAAGUGGCAGAAGUAGUGGUCCGACUACAACAGUUUUCGUAGGCAACAUGUCUGAGAAAGCUUCUGAUAUGUUAAUCGAGCAGUUUUUUACGAAAUAUGGCUUGGUUUUAAGCUGGAAGAUAGUUCAAGGAGCUUCAGGAAAAUUGCAAACAUUCAGCUUUUGUGAGUAUAAAGAACCAAAAUCUACUCUGUGUGCAUUAAGGUUCUUGCAUGAACUUCAAGUGGGAGACAAAACACUGUUUGUGAAAAUAGAUGCAAAGAGCAAAUCCCAGCUGGAUGAAUGAAAGGCUAAAAUGAAAGGAGUCAAUGAAAAAAUGAAGACAAAGGAUUGGUCUGAUGAUGUUGUGGAUGAGGAAACCAAGAGGUGAGAUCAGAUUCUAAAGGAAGCAAGAAAAGGGUUAAUAAGAGAACACUCCACUGAAUUAAAUAGAUCUUCUCAAGAUCAAGAUACACAAACUAAAAGAAAAAAAAGGAAGGUGUGAAUGAGACAAAGAAUGGGAGAAAGAAAAAGUAGUGGAAACAAGAGCAUGUGAUCGGGACCAAGACUAAGAUAGGAAUCAUGAGAGAACAAAUAAUAAGGAUAGGGAGAGUGACCAAGAAAGGAAUUGAGAGUGGGAUAAAGAGAGAAAGAAGCCAGGACUGGAAGAGAAGCAAGGAUCAAACUAGUUCUUGAGAAAAAAAACAAGAAAAGGAGAAGAAAGGUUUACAAAGCUGACUCCCUGCAGUCUCAGAGCCACCACCACAGAGAAAGCCCCAGGGUUUUGCAGCCACAGUUCUCGUCUAUCAGGCAGAGUGGUCCCUCUUGUCAGGAGAGACUUUGUCCCACAGGAGUAGGUAAGCCUCCAUAUUAAUCCUUAAGCCUGAAUGGGACAAUUCAAAAUCUACUAUGUUGUGGAUGUUGAUAUUGUAUAGUUGUAUUAUAUAGUAUGCUCUAUAUAGUGUGUGUACAGUAUAGAAAUUGAGAUGUAUUCUAUAUUCAGUUGGAAUUUCCAGCUAAACAGGGAGCAGCAUUGUGUAUUCAAUGUAUCAGUAAUAUUUGAAUAAUAUGUUAAAUAUAUUGUUUAUUAACUAUUCCUUGUUGCUUACAUAAUGCACUGUGGGCUAUAUGUAAAUGUACAUAAAUGGCAUACCUCGUUGUGCCACCACUUCAUACAUGCGUGCCUUGCUUAAAGUAAAAACAAAACUAACAUAUGUUAUUCCUGGCAUCAUUACUAUCACCUUGACCUUUCUCUUUAACUUCCUAAGUUCUCCAGAUCAGAGCUCUAUCUUCCUGCCCAGUUACUAUUCAGUUUAAAGCUUAUUUACAACUGUAGUUAUACAGUUUGCAAGGACACUGGCCCCUGUCUGAUUCAAGUAAAGUCUUUUCCGAUGGAUCAUUACUUUCUGUCCUCAGUACAGGUUCCAGUUCCCUGUGAAUUGAAAGCCAUUCAACAUAGAGCUUAUUAAAUAUUACAGCACAGAACAGGCCCUUCAACCCAUGAUGUUGUGCCAACAUUUUAACCUAUUCUGAGGACAAUGUAACGCUUCCCUCCUACAUAGCCCUCCAUUAUUCUUUCAUCCAUGUGCCUUUUUACAAGUUCUUUCAACGUUCCUCAUGUAUCUGCCUCUACCUCCAACUCUGGCAGUACAUUCCAUGCACUCACCACUUUCUAUAUAAAAAACCCAUUCUUUCCUCCAAUCACCUUAAAAUUAUACCCUGUUGUAUCAGCCAUUUCCACCCUGGCAAAAAGUCUCUGGCUGUCCAUUCAGUCUAUACCUCUUAUCAUCUUGUGGCCCUCUAUCAAGUCAUCUCUUGUCCUCCUUCACUUCCCCACCAGGUCCUGAACCAUAUAGUCACCUCCCUGAUCUUACUGACCCCAUGCCAAUUUGUACACAGUGCUGGUGGUACCGUUGUGCCACAUUGACCAUGACAGUAAUGAGCUCUUCAGACCUGUGCAGAGAGCCUGACAUCAUUGGGCUCUAAGGUUUUCAGAGCUCUUGCAUUGGUUCGUCGUUGCUUAAUCAUUUAUAGUUCCUCGCGCUGUUCUCGAGUGACUCGCCCUUCGUAAUGUGGUCUCCUGGUACUUUCUGUUUAAACUUCAGUUUAUUUUGAUAGGCUUGGGGAUUGUAUUACUUAAACAGACACCCGAUUAGCGGGCCCUCGUUCUGAGAAUGUUACUUUUUGUAUUAUGCCUCGGCCAAGCCACCUAUGUUCUUUUGGAAUUAUUAUGAAUAAACUUUGCUCCAUCUCUACAUCAGAACCUGUCUUUCCUCCACACUUAGGUCCUGAUAUUGCCAGUGCACAUCAUGACAAUGACAACCCAACCUUUUGCCCUUCCUCUCUAAAGUCCUCUCCAAUCUUUAAUGCAGGCAACACAGACUGGGACUCAUGCUCACAGUGAGCAUUACCUAUCCCCAAACCAUACUGUCCACAUCCCUAAUCCGAGUGGAGUGUCCAUCCAUCCUGCUAAGUCUGGUCUUGGCAAAGGCUUCAACACACACAAAGGCGGAGGUUAUUGCAAUGUUACCUGCUGGAUACUCAUACCUGCCUCUCAGAUGCAGCUUUGCUGACUGACCAUCUCUGCAGUACUGCAUCUGCCCCUUAGACAACAUGUCAAGGUACCCGUUCCCCUCCUUGAUGCAUUCCAGUAGCUAAAUCUCCAAAUCGUCAAAUCUGAUCCAAACUUCUUCUGGUGUGAUUGCCAUGGAUCACAUUACUGUCUAUCAACUCCAAUAUCGAGUGGUUGCCACACAUCCCCUGUCUUAAUUGAAAUAACCAUUUUAAAAAUAAGCAUUUGCUCUUCUUUCACUGAAAUCCCUUACUCCACAAAUAUUCAUAUUCUGAUUUAUUUAUCACGUACAUUGGAACAGGGGGCUCUGGAUCAAGGAGGUACCUUUGAUGCACUCUACCUCGUAGGGUGGACCGGCCUCUGGUCCUCAUCUCCUACCUCUCUCACACCAGCCUCCAAGUGGCGCAACCUGGUUCACCGCUUCAGCCGGUGUGCUAAAUGACAUGAGGGCAGACACCCCACCCUGCAAAAACUCAUUUCGGGGAGGUAACACCCCCCCCCAGUCGACCUCCAAGAGUGUAUGUAAAACUUUGUUUAGUGAUUUUGUCUAAUCUGUAAACCAAGUUGGGUAUAUGCAGAAAAUGUGACAUUAAAAUAUGUGCUUAUAUUAUCAUGGAGUCAUUUUUAUUCAAUUACAACUUUAAGCAAGUCUACAGCGAGUUUGGCCUCAUUAUGUAGGACAUCAAUGGAGUAGCUUAGCAGCUGGCCAGCUAGUUUAAAUAACAUUAGCUUUGCUAAUAAAUGAAUGACACCUGUUAAACGCACCUCAACAUGACUUUUACAGUCAUUUAACCCACCAUGGGCAAUAGAAAAGUCACUGACAUUAAUUUUGAGAUUGACUGUAAAGCCCGCCCACAGAGAAAACUGAUAGGUCUACUUAGCAUGAAGGGAGACCAAUCAGGAUGCUCCCCCUCCCCCUUCCUCUCCCUCUCAAAAAAAUCAAUUUCCGGGAUAUUGUAUAUAAUUUGCGGGUGUCAGGGAGCCGCGAUCAAUAUGUGGGAGACUCGGAACUGCCGGGAGAGGUGGGAUGUCUGUGAGGGGCUGGAAGUAACACGGCCCCACUGGGUGAAGGACAAAGUCACCAACCAUGGUUGUUGAGUUCCCCGAAGAGGAAACACAACAGCCACAUGUUUGAGACCAGGACGAGACACUGAGUUGGAGGACGUCAGCUGUGGUCUGGCCUGGAGAGGGAUGGUGUCACUAGGCCUCACUAGCCCAGGACACGCAAAAGCACCCCUAUGACCCAUAAAAAACGUUGCAGUACCCAAACUGAACAUUGAAACAUAGUGAAAUGAGUCGUUUGCGUUAACAAGCAACACAGCCAAGGGUGGGCUGGGGGCAGCCCGCAAGUGUCGCCACUCAUUCCACGCGUCGAGCGGGCAGCGGAGUCCGUGGAAGCAGAGUCCUGGGCUUUGGCUAAGUGGGCUUCGGCAUAAGGGGACUUCGGUAAGGCUGUGUGAUUGCUCGCUGAGGGGAAGAAGGUAAGGUCGCUAGGUGCUUUUUAGACAUUCUAUUAAUUCAGUUCAGGUAUGGGGGAGACAGUCAGAGCAGUGGUGUGCUCCGUAUGCAGUAUGUGGGAAGUCAGGGUCAACACAGUUGUCCCUGAUGACCACACCUGCAAGAGGUGCGUCCAGCUGCAGCUCCUAUCAGCCCGAGUUAGGGAAUUGGAGCUGGAGCUGGAUGAACUAUGGAUCAUUCAGGAGGCAGAGGCAGAGACAGAUAGGAGUUAUCAGGAGGUAGUCACACCAAAGAACCAAGAUUUAGGCAGAUGGGUGACGGUCCAGAGAGGCGGGGGAGCAGGCAGAGAGAGCAGAGCACUCCUGCGGCCAUUCCCAUUAACAAUAAGUAUACCGUACUGGAUACUGUUGAUGGGGAUGACCUACCAGGAAUGAGUUGCAGUGGUCCUGCCUCUGGCACAGAGGUUGAACCCUCAACUAGAAAGGGGAGGAGGGAAGAGAAGAGAGCGAUAGUUUUAGGGGAUUCAAUAGUUAGGGGGGCAGAUAGGAGAUUUUGUGGGGCAGAUCGGGAGUCUCGGAUGGUAUGUUACCUCCCUGGUGCCAGGGUCCGGGACAUCUCAGAUCGGGUGCAAGCUAUUCUUGAGAAUGAGGGCAUGAACCCAGAUGUAGUGGUCCAUGUAGGGACCAAUGAUGUAGGUAAGGUGAGUGAGGGGGUCCUGCUUAGAGAGUUCAGGGAGUUAGGAGAGAAGCUGAAAGGCAGGACCUCCAGGGUGACAAUCUCGGGAUUGCUACCUGUGCCACGUGCGAGUGAGGCGAAGAAUAGAAUGAUUAUGCCCAUUAAUACGAGGCUGAGAGCAUGGUGCAGGAAGGAAGGGUUCAGGUUUUUGGAUAAUUGGUCUUUGUUCCAGGGACAUUGGGAUCUGUUUCGAAGGGACGGUCUACAUCUGAACCGGAGGGGUACUAACAUUCUUGCAGGAGUGUUUGCCAGUGCUGCUCGGGGAGGUUUAAACUAGAUGUGCAGGGGGCAGGGAUCCAGAUCCAGAGGGUUGGUCAGAAGGAGCAUGGGAUUAAAUGUGUAGAAGGUUUGGGUAAUCUUGAGAAGGUCAUCAAAAUUCAGGGUGCAAUUAGCCCGAUGGAAGUUCAAGGAGCUGGGUUAGGUACAGUAGACAGUCUUUUAAGCAAAGAAAGGAGGAAUGGGCUAAGAAUUCUAUACUUGAAUGCACGUAGUGUCAGAAAUAAGGCAGAUGAGCUUGAAGCUCAGAUGAAAAUGGGGAACUACGAUAUUGUUGGGAUAACAGAGACAUGGCUGCAAGGGGAUCAGGCCUGGGAAUUGAGUGUACCAGGGUAUACGUGCUAUCGUAGAGACAGAAAUAUGGGAAGAGGGGGUGGGGUGGCCCUGUUGGUAAGGAAUGAGAUUCAGUCCUUAGCAAGAGGUGACUUGGGAACAGGGGAAGUAGAGUCUGUGUGGAUUGAGCUGAGGAACAGCAAGGGUAAAAAGACCCUAAUGGGUGUUGUGUACAGGCCCCCAAACAGUAGCGUGGAUAUUGGGUACAAGUUGAUUAGGGAGUUAACAUUGGCAUGUGCUAAAGGUAAUGUAGUCGUUAUGGGAGAUUUCAACAUGCAGGUGAACUGGGAGAAUCAGGUAGGUGCUGGACCCCAGGAUAGGGAGUUUGUGGAGUGUCUAAGGGAUGUAUUUUUGGAACAGCUUGUGCUUGAGCCAACCAGGAACGAGGCUAUUUUGGACUUGGUGAUGUGUAAUGAACAGGAAUUGAUAAGUGAUCUUGAAGUAAAGGAGCCAUUAGGAAGUAGUGAUCAUAACAUGAUAAGUUUUUAUGUACAAUUUGAGAGGGAUAAGGGCAGAUCAGAGGUGUCAGUGUUGCAAUUAAAUAAAGGAGACUACGGAGCCAUGAGGGAAGAGCUGACCAAAGUUAAAUGGGCGGAUGCCCUGGCAGGAAAGACAGUGGAUCAGCAGUGGCAGAUAUUCUUGGGCAUAAUACAAAAGAUGCAAAAGCAGUUCAUUCCAAUGAGAAGGAAGGAUUCAAAGAGGGGGAAAGGGGCCACAGUGGUUGACAAAGGAAGUCAGAGAUUGUAUAGCAUUAAAGAAAAAGAAGUAUGACAGGGCUAAGAUGAGUGGGAAUACAGAUGAUUGGGAAAGUUUUAAGGAGCAGCAGAUCUUAACUAAAAAAGCAAUACGGAGAGAAAAAAUCAGAGAUUGUAUAGCAUUAAAGAAAAAGAAGUAUGACAGGGCUAAGAUGAGUGGGAAUACAGAUGAUUGGGAAAGUUUU
RNA transcript from Hypanus sabinus (Atlantic stingray), 10564 nucleotides. RefSeq lists it as uncharacterized. Lineage: Eukaryota; Metazoa; Chordata; Chondrichthyes; Myliobatiformes; Dasyatidae. The record is from RefSeq and is a predicted model, not a curated record. The transcript has 2 exons.